RNAcentral lists this ribosomal RNA (252 nucleotides) under uncultured bacterium. RNAcentral describes it as "partial 16S ribosomal RNA". It matches the Rfam family "Bacterial small subunit ribosomal RNA", at positions 524 to 776 of the family's 1533-position model. The record is from RNAcentral.
UACGUAGGUGGCAAGCGUUGUCCGGAAUUAUUGGGCGUAAAGCGCGCGCAGGCGGUUAUGUAAGUCUGAUGUUAAAGCCCGGGGCUCAACCUCGGUUCGCAUUGGAAACUGUGUAACUUGAUUGCAGAAGAGGAAAGUGGUAUUCCACGUGUAGCGGUGAAAUGCGUAGAUAUGUGGAGGAACACCAGUGGCGAAGGCGACUUUCUGGUCUGUAACUGACGCUGAGGCGCGACAGCGUGGGGAGCUAACAGG